CCUACGGGCGGCAGCAGUGGGGAAUAUUGCACAAUGGGGGAAACCCUGAUGCAGCGACGCCGCGUGAAGGAAGAAGUCUUUCUGUAUGUAAACUUCUAUCAGCAGGGAAGAAAAUGACGGUACCUGACUAAGAAGCCCCGGCUAACUCCGUGCCAGCAGCCGCGGUAAUACGGAGGAUGCGAGCGUUAACCGGAGUUAUUGGGUUUAACGGGUGCGUAGGCGGUCCGGAAAGUCAGCGGUAAAAGCCCGGGGCUCAACCCCGGCGAGCCGUUGAAACUGUCGGACUAGAGACGGCGAGAAGUACGCGGAAUGCGCGGUGUAGCGGUGAAAUGCAUAGAUAUCGCGCAGAACGCCGAUUGCGAAGGCAGCGUACCGGCGCCGGACUGACGCUGAGGCACGAAAGCGUGGGUAUCGAACAGGAUGAGAGACCCCAGUAGUC
This 439-nucleotide ribosomal RNA is filed under the name uncultured bacterium. RNAcentral describes it as "partial 16S ribosomal RNA". It matches the Rfam family "Bacterial small subunit ribosomal RNA", at positions 338 to 795 of the family's 1533-position model. The record is from RNAcentral.